UACGGAGGGUGCAAGCGUUGUUCGGAAUUACUGGGCGUAAAGGGCGCGUAGGUGGCUGUGUAAGUCGGGUGUGAAAUCCCCAGGCUCAACUUGGGAACUGCAUCCGAUACUGCAUGGCUAGAGUGCAGCAGAGGGAAACGGAAUUCCUGGUGUAGAGGUGAAAUUCGUAGAUAUCAGGAGGAACACCGGUGGCGAAGGCGGUUUCCUGGGCUGACACUGACACUGAGGCGCGAAAGCGUGGGUAGCAAAC
Molecule: ribosomal RNA, 250 nt
Filed under: uncultured bacterium
Lineage: Bacteria
Description: partial 16S ribosomal RNA
Rfam family: Bacterial small subunit ribosomal RNA
Source: RNAcentral